RNAcentral lists this unclassified non-coding RNA (230 nucleotides) under uncultured delta proteobacterium. Its description in RNAcentral is "contains 16S-23S intergenic spacer region". Lineage: Bacteria; Deltaproteobacteria. The record is from RNAcentral.
UCCUCAUUUAAAUGAGGCAGUCUGUCCUCCGUUGUCUAGCCCGGGUAAGGUUCUUCGCGUUGCGUCGAAUUGAACCACAUGCUCCACCGCUUGUGCGGGCCCCCGUCAAUUCCUUUGAGUUUUAACCUUGCGGCCGUAGUCCCCAGGCGGGGCACUUAAUGCGUUAGCUGCGGCACCGCAGGGGUCAAUACCCGCGACACCUAGUGCCCAUCGUUUACAGCGUGGACUAC